CAGUAGCCGCGGGAAUACGUAGGUGGCAAGCGUUGUCCGGAAUUAUUGGGCGUAAAGGGCUCGCAGGCGGUUUCUUAAGUCUGAUGUGAAAGCCCCCGGCUCAACCGGGGAGGGUCAUUGGAAACUGGGAAACUUGAGUGCAGAAGAGGAGAGUGGAAUUCCACGUGUAGCGGUGAAAUGCGUAGAGAUGUGGAGGAACACCAGUGGCGAAGGCGACUCUCUGGUCUGUAACUGACGCUGAGGAGCGAAAGCGUGGGGAGCGAACAGGAUUAGAUACCCGAGUAGUCCCGUCUCUUAUACA
RNAcentral lists this ribosomal RNA (301 nucleotides) under uncultured bacterium. RNAcentral's name for it is "partial 16S ribosomal RNA". It matches the Rfam family "Bacterial small subunit ribosomal RNA", at positions 509 to 808 of the family's 1533-position model. The record is from RNAcentral.